UUCUCCAAUGUCUAGGGCCUUGUUUUUUUUCCAAAAUGUGCAUCACUAAAGCUAAUAAAGCUUCUUGAAGUCGCUUGGUUCGAGCUCGAUUCAUGGGACACUUUGGAAGCUCGAUAGGAUCUGAUAUGCACUUGAGGAUGCCCCGGGUGUGCAUACAUCGGGAUAAAGCCAUAUACUACCUCAAAAGGAGAAUGUUUUGUGGCUAAAUGAAUAGUCCGGUUAUAGGCGAACUCCACAUGAGGUAAAUACUCCUCCC
Molecule: long non-coding RNA, 256 nt
Filed under: Gossypium barbadense (sea-island cotton)
Lineage: Eukaryota; Viridiplantae; Streptophyta; Magnoliopsida; Malvales; Malvaceae
Description: long non-coding RNA (GBAR_LNC022812)
Source: RNAcentral